UACGUAGGGUGCGAGCGUUGUCCGGAAUUAUUGGGCGUAAAGAGCUCGUAGGCGGUUUGUCGCGUCGGCCGUGAAAACUUGGGGCUUAACCCCGAGCCUGCGGUCGAUACGGGCAGACUUGAGUUCGGCAGGGGAGACUGGAAUUCCUGGUGUAGCGGUGAAAUGCGCAGAUAUCAGGAGGAACACCGGUGGCGAAGGCGGUUCUCUGGGCCUUACCUGACGCUGAGGAGCGAAAGCAUGGGGAGCAAACAGG
This 253-nucleotide ribosomal RNA is filed under the name uncultured bacterium. Its description in RNAcentral is "partial 16S ribosomal RNA". It matches the Rfam family "Bacterial small subunit ribosomal RNA", at positions 524 to 776 of the family's 1533-position model. The record is from RNAcentral.